RNAcentral lists this ribosomal RNA (329 nucleotides) under uncultured eukaryote. RNAcentral's name for it is "partial 18S ribosomal RNA". It matches the Rfam family "Eukaryotic small subunit ribosomal RNA", at positions 1470 to 1796 of the family's 1831-position model. The record is from RNAcentral.
CCCUUAGAUGUUCUGGGCCGCACGCGCGCUACAAUGAUGAAUUCAACGAGUUUAUAACCUUGGUUGAAAAGCCUGGGUAAUCUUUUGAACUUUCGUCGUGAUGGGGCUAGACCCUUGCAAUUAUUGGUCUCCAACGAGGAAUCCCUAGUAAACGCAAGUCAUCAGCUUGCAUUGAUUACGUCCCUGCCCUUUGUACACACCGCCCGUCGCACCUACCGAUUGAAUGGUCCGGUGAAAUCUUCGGAUUGAGACUUUGAUUUCUUCACGGAAAACGCUGUUUUAAGAAGUUGAUUAAACCUUACCAUUUAGAGGAAGGUGAAGUCGUAACA